Molecule: ribosomal RNA, 519 nt
Filed under: uncultured Glomus
Lineage: Eukaryota; Fungi; Glomeromycota; Glomeromycetes; Glomerales; Glomeraceae
Description: SSU rRNA
Rfam family: Eukaryotic small subunit ribosomal RNA
Source: RNAcentral
AGCAGCCGCGGUAAUUCCAGCUCCAAUAGCGUAUAUUAAAGUUGUUGCAGUUAAAAAGCUCGUAGUUGAAUUUCGGGAUCAAUACGUCGGUCGUGCUUCGGUACGUACUGGCGUCAUUGAUUUCUCCCUUCUGACGAACCAUGAUGUCAUUAACUUGGUGUCAUGGGAAAUCAGGACUGUUACUUUGAAAAAUUAGAGUGUUUAAAGCAGGCUCACGCUUGAAUACAUUAGCAUGGAAUAAUGAAAUAGGACGUUCGAUCCUAUUUUGUUGGUUUUAGGAUCAACGUAAUGAUUAAUAGGGAUAGUUGGGGGCAUUAGUAUUCAAUUGUCAGAGGUGAAAUUCUUGGAUUUAUUGAAGACUAACUACUGCGAAAGCAUUUGCCAAGGAUGUUUUCAUUAAUCAAGAACGAAAGUUAGGGGAUCGAAGACGAUCAGAUACCGUCGUAGUCUUAACCAUAAACUAUAGCCGACUAGGGAUCGGAUGAUGUUAAUUUUUAAUGUACUCAUUCGGCGUACCCG